AGGGGUGUGGUUGAUGGUACAGGCCCCUUUAAAGGACUACAAAGCAUCCCAGCAGGUCCAGCAGUCGCGAUGCCCGCCCAUGUUUUCAUGCACCAGGUCCUCCAUCCACACUUGAACUCUGCUAUCUUCCAAAUACUUCAUCUCAUUUCACCUCCAGUUGAAGCAGAUCCAACAGCUCAGUGAGAUGAUCCAAUACAUUGCACUACUAUGUCAGCAAACAGGAGGUAGGAGUAGGAACUUGUGGUGGGGUGGGUGGGGAGGUGGAGAACGUGCAUUUGGGUUGCAGGGCAGUUUUUUGGCACCUUGAAUUGAUCUAAAUGGGAAGCCUGUUCCCUUUCCUUCUUAGUCAUCUUUUGC
RNAcentral lists this long non-coding RNA (357 nucleotides) under Gallus gallus (chicken). RNAcentral describes it as "long non-coding RNA NONGGAT009320". The record is from RNAcentral. Lineage: Eukaryota; Metazoa; Chordata; Aves; Galliformes; Phasianidae.